This 879-nucleotide ribosomal RNA is filed under the name Klebsiella aerogenes. Its description in RNAcentral is "partial 23S ribosomal RNA". It matches the Rfam family "Bacterial large subunit ribosomal RNA", at positions 890 to 1766 of the family's 2925-position model. Lineage: Bacteria; Pseudomonadati; Pseudomonadota; Gammaproteobacteria; Enterobacterales; Enterobacteriaceae. The record is from RNAcentral.
UCAUCUUCGGGGGUAGAGCACUGUUUCGGCUAGGGGGUCAUCCCGACUUACCAACCCGAUGCAAACUACGAAUACCGAAGAAUGUUAUCACGGGAGACACACGGCGGGUGCUAACGUCCGUCGUGAAGAGGGAAACAACCCAGACCGCCAGCUAAGGUCCCAAAGUCACAGUUAAGUGGGAAACGAUGUGGGAAGGCACAGACAGCCAGGAUGUUGGCUUAGAAGCAGCCAUCAUUUAAAGAAAGCGUAAUAGCUCACUGGUCGAGUCGGCCUGCGCGGAAGAUGUAACGGGGCUAAACUGUGCACCGAAGCUGCGGCAGCGACACUUAGGUGUUGUUGGGUAGGGGAGCGUUCUGUAAGCCUGCGAAGGUGGCCUGUGAGGGUUGCUGGAGGUAUCAGAAGUGCGAAUGCUGACAUAAGUAACGAUAAUGCGGGUGAAAAGCCCGCACGCCGGAAGACCAAGGGUUCCUGUCCAACGUUAAUCGGGGCAGGGUGAGUCGACCCCUAAGGCGAGGCCGAAAGGCGUAGUCGAUGGGAAACAGGUUAAUAUUCCUGUACUUGGUGUUACUGCGAAGGGGGGACGGAGAAGGCUAUGUUAGCCGGGCGACGGUUGUCCCGGUUUAAGCAUGUAGGCGGAGGUUCCAGGUAAAUCCGGUACCUUUUAACGCUGAGGUGUGAUGACGAGGCACUACGGUGCUGAAGUAACAAAUGCCCUGCUUCCAGGAAAAGCCUCUAAGCAUCAGGUAACAUUGAAUCGUACCCCAAACCGACACAGGUGGUCAGGUAGAGAAUACCAAGGCGCUUGAGAGAACUCGGGUGAAGGAACUAGGCAAAAUGGUGCCGUAACUUCGGGAGAAGGCACGCUGAUAUGUAGGUGAA